RNAcentral lists this ribosomal RNA (1383 nucleotides) under Capronia pilosella. Its description in RNAcentral is "eukaryotic LSU rRNA". It matches the Rfam family "Eukaryotic large subunit ribosomal RNA", at positions 50 to 1449 of the family's 3401-position model. The record is from RNAcentral. Lineage: Eukaryota; Fungi; Ascomycota; Eurotiomycetes; Chaetothyriales; Herpotrichiellaceae.
GCGGAGGAAAAGAAACCAACAGGGAUUGCCUCAGUAACGGCGAGUGAAGCGGCAACAGCUCAAAUUUGAAAUCUGGCCUCUAGGGGUCCGAGUUGUAAUUUGUAGAGGAUGUUUCGGGUACCGCUCCGGUUUAAAUUUCUUGGAACAGAAUGUCAAAGAGGGUGAGAAUCCCGUCUUGGACCGGUGGUAGGGCCUAUGUGAAACUCCUUCGACGAGUCGAGUUGUUUGGGAAUGCAGCUCAAAAUGGGUGGUAAAUUUCAUCUAAAGCUAAAUAUUGGCCAGAGACCGAUAGCGCACAAGUAGAGUGAUCGAAAGAUGAAAAGCACUUUGAAAAGAGAGUUAAACAGUAUGUGAAAUUGUUGAAAGGGAAGCGCUGGCAACCAGACUUGCGCGCGGCGGUUCCCCCUUCCUUUUGGUUGGGUUACUCCGCCGUGUCCAGGCCAAUAUCGGUUUUGGGGGUCGGUCAAAGGCGUUGGGAAUGUACCUACCCUCCGGGCGUAGACUUAUAGCCCAGCGUGUCAUGCGACCUCCCGGGACCGAGGAACGCGCUUCGGCUCGGAUAUUGGCGUAAUGGUUGUCAGCGACCCGUCUUGAAACACGGACCAAGGAGUCUAACAACUAUGCGAGUGUUUGGGUGUCAAACCCGGAACGCGUAAUGAAAGUGAACGGAGGUAGGAAGCCUUUUGGCUGCACUAUCGACCGAUCCUGAUGUCUUCGGAUGGAUUUGAGUAAGAGCAUAAUUGUUGGGACCCGAAAGAUGGUGAACUAUGCCUGAAUAGGGUGAAGCCAGAGGAAACUCUGGUGGAGGCUCGCAGCGGUUCUGACGUGCAAAUCGAUCGUCAAAUUUGGGUAUAGGGGCGAAAGACUAAUCGAACCAUCUGGUAGCUGGUUCCUGCCGAAGUUUCCCUCAGGAUAGCAGUAACGUUUUCAGUUUUAUGAGGUAAAGCGAAUGAUUAGAGGCCUUGGGGUUGAAACAACCUUAACCUAUUCUCAAACUUUAAAUAUGUAAGAAGUCCUUGUUGCUUAAUUGAACGUGGACAUUUGAAUGUAUCGUUACUAGUGGGCCAUUUUUGGUAAGCAGAACUGGCGAUGCGGGAUGAACCGAACGUGAGGUUAAGGUGCCGGAAUGUACGCUCAUCAGACACCACAAAAGGUGUCAAUGCAUCCAGACAGCCGGACGGUGGCCAUGGAAGUCGGAAUCCGCUUAGGAGUGUGUAACAACUCACCGGCCGAAUGCAUUGGCCCUGAAAAUGGAUGGCGCUUAAGCGUGCUACCUAUACCUCGCCGUCAGGGUUGACAUGAUGCCCUGACGAGUAGGCAGGCGUGGAGGUCAGUGCCGAAGCCUUGGGGGUGACCCCGGGUCGAACGACCUCUAGUGCAGAU